This 587-nucleotide long non-coding RNA is filed under the name Ictidomys tridecemlineatus (thirteen-lined ground squirrel). RNAcentral's name for it is "lncRNA (ENSSTOG00000033008.1)". The record is from RNAcentral. Lineage: Eukaryota; Metazoa; Chordata; Mammalia; Rodentia; Sciuridae.
AAUCCUUCAAGCUCAUUUGAGAUCCUAGGAUUCGUAGAGGUGAGCAAGGACAUUCUACAAAUAUCCACGGUGUCUCUUUUGGAAGUAGACGUGGUACAAGUAUUGGUGCUUUCUUCACUUCCAGAUGCAGAAAAAAGCAGGUUGGAAUUAUUUACUGUGCCCAAAAUACUACCAACAGUUUCUGAAAGCUUCACUGAUGAAAGAGGGAAACUGAAAGAGGAGCUGAUUCAUUUGAACCUGUAUGAGAUGGAGCACACUCUGUCCUCUGCAGUCUUGGACUUUCAAAGUAACCAAAUAUAUGGCUUCUGUAAUCAAGCACCGUACAUCUGUAGCUAUCUUCUUCCUGAAAAACAGGAAGAUACCAAGGUUUGUAUUCUUAAGCCACACCAAAAAGUGCAAAGCAAGCAUUAUGGAACUGGAAUGCUCUAUCUAUCUUGGCAUGGAUUGUGGCUCAUAACAAUAGCUAAAUGUGGAAUUCUGUGUAUCCGAGAUAUUUAUACUUUGGUAAGCUCCUUAAAAAAAAAGUAUGCAGUGUGUAUAUUGAUUUCAGAUAACUAACAAAAGUCCUUAGAAGACAAACCAGAACU